RNAcentral lists this ribosomal RNA (399 nucleotides) under uncultured bacterium. RNAcentral describes it as "partial 16S ribosomal RNA". It matches the Rfam family "Bacterial small subunit ribosomal RNA", at positions 338 to 734 of the family's 1533-position model. The record is from RNAcentral.
CCUACGGGAGGCAGCAGUGAGGAAUAUUGGUCAAUGGGCGUAAGCCUGAACCAGCCAAGUCGCGUGAAGGAUGAAUGCCCUACGGAUCGUAAACUUCUUUUAUAAAGGAAUAAAGUGAGGCACGUGUGCCGUUUUGUAUGUACUUUAUGAAUAAGGAUCGGCUAACUCCGUGCCAGCAGCCGCGGUAAUACGGAGGAUCCGAGCGUUAUCCGGAUUUAUUGGGUUUAAAGGGUGCGUAGAUGGGUUGUUAAGUCAGCGGUGAAAGUCUGCGGCUCAACCGUAAAAUUGCAGUUGAUACUGGCAGUCUUGAGUAUAGUUGAGGUAGGCGGAAUGCGUGGUGUAGCGGUGAAAUGCUUAGAUAUCACGCAGAACCCCGAUUGCGAAGGCAGCUUACUAAGC